RNAcentral lists this unclassified non-coding RNA (623 nucleotides) under Chrysothrix sp. KWS 23. RNAcentral describes it as "partial contains 18S rRNA, ITS1, 5.8S rRNA, ITS2 and 28S rRNA". The stretch from base 192 to 345 matches the Rfam family "5.8S ribosomal RNA". Lineage: Eukaryota; Fungi; Ascomycota; Arthoniomycetes; Arthoniales; Chrysotrichaceae. The record is from RNAcentral.
GAAGUAAAGGUUGUAUCAAGGUUUCUGUAGGUGAACCUGCGGAAGGAUCAUUACCGGUUGCUGACCCUCCUCCUACUUCCUUGGGACCCCCCAGGUUGCAUGGGGCGGCGUUACGCUUCAAACCCAAAUGUCUAUUCUAAACAACCUUUUAAACUCCAGAUCAUAUUGGAAUUAUUUAAAAUUAAAAACAAAACUUUCAACAACGGAUCUCUUGGGACACCAGUCGAUGAAGAACGCAGCGAAACGCGAUAGGUAAUGUGAAUUGCAGAAUUCAGUGAAUCAUCGAAUCUUUGAACGCACAUUGCGCCCAUUGGUAUUCCGAUGGGCAUGCCUGUUCGAGCGUCAUUACAGACCAUCAAGGGACCCCCUUUUGGAAACAAAACGGGGGAUCCUCUUGGCUUUAGAUGUCCUCGUCCCCCCUACAAAUCUUUGGAAAGGGGGGACGCAUCUGAAUAAGAGAUGGCAGUAAUAGAAAAGCCUCAAGCGCAUCGGAAAACCCUCGCUUGUCAGGUAAUCUAAUUACUUAGCUUAUAAAGCCCCCCUUUACUCUAAAGGUUGACCUCGGAUCAGGUAGGAAUACCCGCUGAACUUAAGCAUAUCAAUAAGCGGAGGAAAAGAAACCA